This 498-nucleotide ribosomal RNA is filed under the name uncultured bacterium. RNAcentral's name for it is "partial 16S ribosomal RNA". It matches the Rfam family "Bacterial small subunit ribosomal RNA", at positions 899 to 1397 of the family's 1533-position model. The record is from RNAcentral.
ACUCAAAUGAAUUGACGGGGGCCCGCACAAGCGGUGGAUGAUGUGGAUUAAUUCGAUGCAACGCGAAAAACCUUACCUACGCUUGACAUGUCCGAAAGUUUCCAGAGAUGGGAUCGUGCUCGAAAGAGAAUCGGAACACAGGUGCUGCAUGGCUGUCGUCAGCUCGUGUCGUGAGAUGUUGGGUUAAGUCCCGCAACGAGCGCAACCCUUGUCAUUAGUUGCUACAUUUAGUUGGGCACUCUAAUGAGACUGCCGGUGACAAACCGGAGGAAGGUGGGGAUGACGUCAAGUCCUCAUGGCCCUUAUGCGUAGGGCUUCACACGUCAUACAAUGGUCGGUACAGAGGGUCGCCAACCCGCGAGGGGGAGCCAAUCUCACAAAGCCGAUCGUAGUCCGGAUUGCACUCUGCAACUCGAGUGCAUGAAGUCGGAAUCGCUAGUAAUCGCGGAUCAGCAUGUCGCGGUGAAUACGUUCCCGGGCCUUGCACACACCGCCCGU